CUACGGGUGGCUGCAGUGGGGAAUAUUGGACAAUGGGGGAAACCCUGAUCCAGCAAUGCCGCGUGUGUGAAGAAGGCCUGCGGGUUGUAAAGCACUUUCGGUUGGGAGGACUGCUUCUAGCACUAAUAUUGUUGGAAGUUGACGUUACCUUCAGAAGAAGCACCGGCUAACUCCGUGCCAGCAGCCACGGUAAUACGGAGGGUGCAAGCGUUAAUCGGAAUUACUGGGCGUAAAGCGCGCGUAGGCGGCGAGAUCAGUCGGGUGUGAAAGCCCCGGGCUUAACCUGGGAACUGCAUCCGAUACUGUCUAGCUUGAGUACAGGAAAGGAGAGUGGAAUUCCACAUGUAGCGGUGAAAUGCGUAGAUAUGUGGAGGAACACCAAUGGCGAAGGCAGCUCUCUGGCCUGAUACUGACGCUGAGGUGCGAAAGCGUGGGGAGCAAACAGGAUUAGAUACCCUUGUAGUC
Molecule: ribosomal RNA, 465 nt
Filed under: uncultured bacterium
Lineage: Bacteria
Description: partial 16S ribosomal RNA
Rfam family: Bacterial small subunit ribosomal RNA
Source: RNAcentral